RNAcentral lists this ribosomal RNA (497 nucleotides) under uncultured bacterium. RNAcentral describes it as "partial 16S ribosomal RNA". It matches the Rfam family "Bacterial small subunit ribosomal RNA", at positions 28 to 507 of the family's 1533-position model. The record is from RNAcentral.
GAUGAACGCUGGCGGCGUGCCUAAUACAUGCAAGUCGAGCGAACAGACGAGGAGCUUGCUCCUCUGACGUUAGCGGCGGACGAGUGAGUAACACGUGGAUAACCUACCUAUAAGACUGGGAUAACUUCGGGAAACCGGAGCUAAUACCGGAUAAUAUAUUGAACCGCAUGGUUCAAUAGUGAAAGACGGUUUUGCUGUCACUUAUAGAUGGAUCCGAGCCGCAUUAGCUAGUUGGUAAGGUAACGGCUUACCAAGGCGACGAUGCGUAGCCGACCUGAGAGGGUGAUCGGCCACAAUGGAACUGAGACACGGUCCAGACUCCUACGGGAGGCAGCAGUAGGGAAUAUUCCGCAAUGGGCGAAAGCCUGACGGAGCAACGCCGCGUGAGUGAUGAAGGUCUUCGGAUCGUAAAACUCUGUUAUUAGGGAAGAACAAAUGUGUAAGUAACUCUGCACGUCUUGACGGUACCUAAUCAGAAAGCCACGGCUAACUACGUG